UGAAACCCCGUCUCUACUAAAAAAUACAAAAAAUUAGCCGGGCGUGGUGGUGGGCGCCUGUAGUCCCAGCUACUCGGGAGGCUGAGGCAGGAGAAUGGUGAGAACCCGGGAGGCGGAGCUUGCAGUGAGCCGAGAUCGCACCACUGCACUCCAGCCUGGGUGACAGAGCUAGAGUCCAUCUCAAAAACAAAACAAAACAAAACAAAACAAAACAAAACCAUUCUGUCAGUCUGUGAAGGGGUGAGCCCUAAGAAAUACAUCUCCCUGCCUCCUUCUCUCUUCUGUUCCCACCUCCUCUCUAGUCAAGUGAGAUUCUUCCCUGAGGAACCAAACAUUAGUAAGAGAAAAUGAGCUACUUCAGCAACUGAAAACUAAACUCUAGUAAACUACAGUCAUAAGUCUAGUUCUCAUCAACUAUUUUAUAUAUCACUUUGGUUGUUUUCAUUGUCUGUUUCAAGUAAGCAAUGUGGUCCUUUCUCCUUUGUAAGGCUAAUUUUAGGUCAACCUCUGUUAGCCUUAUUUCCUCCCCGCCAACUCCCCCCCCAAAAAACCCUUUUAGUUUUAAAGAAAGCUUCUUUGCAUUUUUGCCCUUUCUAAGAGGUAGGGUAUUUACCCUAUAUUAUUUUAAUAGGAUCAUAUUUGCUCUGAAGUAAAUCAAUUUGUUUAACUUUAUUAAAUUUGAUGCCUUUGGGCUAGCCUCUGAAACAGCAAACUUAUAGGCAAUUAAAUAAUUGUUAUUAAAACGAUCUACUUAUUUUUUCUUGUCUCCAGCCUUUACAGUUAAAAUGUUCCUUUGGAAUAUUGCUUUGUAGGGAAGUAAAUCUUUGUUCCUCGUGAAAUGGGCUUUAAAACAGCCCAGAGCAAUGGGCUGGCCCAGAACUUGGGAGUCUCAAGUUUUCAUUCUCACCCACUGCGGAGUCUUCCUGGCUCCCAGGACCACGGCCUCGGGGGCCCAUGUGUACUAGGAGGGGCUGCACCUGGACAGUCCCUGGGGUCCAUUCCACCCACCCUACCUACCCCACCUUACAGCUUCAUCCCCCUCUUCUGCCACCCAUCCAGGCCUGGGGCAGCCCCCACUGUCCCACGUGCCAGCCACAGGAAUUCCCCUUCCUCUCAACUCCCAGCACCUGGCGACACCUCAACCCAGUCUCCUCCACACUGUCCCUCUCUGCUCCCUCCCCACCUUUGUGUCCAGUCCUCCCUUUAGAUGAAAUGUUUCCCAAGGCAGAGACUGCUGUAAAACCUCUUGAUCUUUCCCAAGGCCUUAGAUGCUGCCAAAAAUUAGCCAGGCGUGGUAGCAUGUGCCUGUAAUCCCAGCUACUUGGGAGGCUGAGGCAGGAGAAUCACUUGAACCCAGGAGGCAGAGACUGCAGUGAGCUGAGAUCGUGCCAUUGCACUCCAGCCUGGGCGACAAAAGUGAAACUCCAUCUCAAAAACAAACAAACAAACAAACAAACAAAAGUUUGGGCAUCAGAAUUGGGCUGGCUUCCUAUCGUCUUACUUCCAGGCAAAGCAUCUCAGUUCUCUCAGCUGAAUGGCAAAACCUACAAAGUGGGGUCAACCCCGAGACGAAGGAGUUGAGGACUUAGGAUUCAGAGUCCCAGAUUCCAGCCCAUUGGUUCUAGAGAUUUCUCUGAAUUAGGGAUUCGACAGCACCCCCUCUGAAAGUCACCUGAGAUCCCAGGUUCAGGUAACAGUCGACAGACAGCA
RNAcentral lists this long non-coding RNA (1710 nucleotides) under Homo sapiens (human). RNAcentral's name for it is "non-protein coding lnc-NTSR2-6:1". Lineage: Eukaryota; Metazoa; Chordata; Mammalia; Primates; Hominidae. The record is from RNAcentral.